UACGGAGGGUGCUAGCGUUGUUCGGAAUUACUGGGCGUAAAGCGCGCGUAGGCGGUCUUGCAAGUCGGGGGUGAAAGCCCGAGGCUCAACCUCGGAACUGCCUUCGAUACUGCGGGUCUCGAGUCCGGGAGAGGUGAGUGGAAUUCCUAGUGUAGAGGUGAAAUUCGUAGAUAUUAGGAAGAACACCAGUGGCGAAGGCGGCUCACUGGCCCGGUACUGACGCUGAGGCGCGAAAGCGUGGGGAGCAAACAGG
Molecule: ribosomal RNA, 253 nt
Filed under: uncultured bacterium
Lineage: Bacteria
Description: partial 16S ribosomal RNA
Rfam family: Bacterial small subunit ribosomal RNA
Source: RNAcentral